GAGUUUGCUCCUGGCUCAGAAUGAACGCUAGCGGCGUGGAUUAGGCAUGCAAGUCGAACGAGAAAGCACCUUCGGGUAUUAGUAAAGUGGCGAACGGGUGAGUAAGGCGUAAAUGAUCUACCCUCAUGACUGGGAUAACAGUUCGAAAGAACUGCUAAUACCGGAUGCGGUCCUCAGAUUGCGAUUUGGUGAUUAAAGAUGGCCUCUAUUUUAAGCUGUCGCAUGAGGAGGAGUUUACGUGCUAUUAGUUAGUUGGUGGGGUAAUGGCCUACCAAGACAAUGAUGGCUAGCCGGCCUGAGAGGGUGUCCGGCCACACUGGGACUGAGACACUGCCCAGACUCCUACGGGAGGCUGCAGUCGAGAAUCUUCCACUAAUGCGCGAAAGCGUGAUGGAGCGACGCCGCGUGUGUGAUGAAGGCCUUCGGGUUGUAAAGUUCUGUCACAUGGUCCUAAACCCACAGAGCGAAUAACCUUUGAGGUCGAAGUGCCGUGGAAGGAAGCACCGGCUAAAUUCGUGCCAGCAGCCGCGGUAAUACGAAUGGUGCAAGCGUUGUUCGGAAUCACUGGGCAUAAAGAGCAUGUAGGCGGCUUUGCCUGUUGUCCGUGAAAUCCCCCGGCUCAACCGAGGAGCUGCGUCUGAAACUACGUUGCUAGAGUGCGGGAGGGGAGAGUGGAAUUCCAGGUGGAGCGGUGAAAUGCGUAGAUAUCUGGAGGAACGCCGGCGGCGAAAGCGACUCUCUGGCCCGCUACUAACGCUUAGGCGCGAAAGCUUGGGUAGCAAACAGCAUUAGAUACCCUGGUACUCCAAGCUGUAAACGAGGACGACUAAGUGGUGGGACUCCCAAGGUCUCGCUGCCGGAGCCAAUGUAUUAAGUGGUCCGCCUGGGGAGUAUGGUCGCAAGGCUGAAACUCAAAGGAAUUGACGGGGGCUCACACAAGCGGUGGAGCAUGUUGUUUAAUUCGAUUCAACGCGAAGAACCUUACCUGGGCUUGACAUGUAUGUAGUAUCAAUCCGAAAGGGGCGAGACCUACUUUGUAGGAGCAUACACAGGUAUUGCACGGCUGUCGUCAGCUCGUGUCGUGAGAUGUUGGGUUAAGUCCCGUAACGAGCGCAACCCCUAUUGUUAGUUGCUAACAGGUAAUGCUGAGGACUCUAGCGAGACUGCCGGUGUUAAACCGGAGGAAGGCGGGGACGACGUCAAGUCAUCAUGGUCCUUACGCCCAGGGCUACAAACGUGCUACAAUGGCAGGUACAAAGGGAAGCAAGACCGCGAGGUGGAGCAAAUCCCAAAAAGCCUGCCCCAGUUCGGAUAGGAGGCUGCAACUCGCCUCCUUGAAGUUGGAAUCGCUAGUAAUCGCAGAUCAGCCAUGCUGCGGUGAAUGUGUUCCUGAGCCUUGUACACACCGCCCGUCAAGCCACCCAAAUUGGUCGCACCCGUAGUCACAGACCCAACCGCAAGGAGGGAUGUGCCGAAGGUGAGGUUUGUGAGGGGGACUAAGUCGUAACAAGGUAACC
This 1517-nucleotide ribosomal RNA is filed under the name uncultured prokaryote. RNAcentral's name for it is "partial 16S ribosomal RNA". It matches the Rfam family "Bacterial small subunit ribosomal RNA". The record is from RNAcentral.